AAAGAAUAGUAUUUAUUAGAUUUGCGGACAACAUAACAGCACUAGCUCCAAGUUCAACACAAUUAAGAAGAGUAAUGAAACAGAUGGAUCUAAUUUUUACACAAUUUGGACUGAAAAUUAACACAAAUAAAACUAAAACACUAAUUGCUUCAAAAUUUCGUCGGGUUAAGGAACAAAUUGACAUCAGAGGGACACAUAUAGAACAAGAAAACAAAUUUAGAUAUUUAGCAGCUUAAUUACACAAGACUCCA
Molecule: long non-coding RNA, 251 nt
Organism: Cydia pomonella (codling moth)
Lineage: Eukaryota; Metazoa; Arthropoda; Insecta; Lepidoptera; Tortricidae
Exons: 2
Source: RefSeq, a predicted model, not a curated record